AUUUUUCCUUCCCAAAUUCGCCGAGCCUUCUUCUUCCUUGCGAUUCACCGCCGAACCUUCCUUCCUCUAGCUCGAUCCUCCACCCUUCUCCUCUGAUCGCCGAAGCCGAUGCACCAUCGACUGAGUUUCCCUCCUACCUCUCUUCUCCUCUUCACCGUCGGCGCAACUCUUCUUCUUCUCUCUGUCUCACGCGUGGAUAACCCGACAUCGACGGAGUGUGCUCCACCACGAUCUCGCCUUCACGCGCCGUCGGAGAGGAAGUGGCGUUGGAUCUUGACAGUAAUCGUCAUCUCCGAUUGUGUGAUUGCAUCUUCAAUGGUUCUUGCUCACGAUCGGCCGUUGCUCGGCGGCUAGGGCACGGUAAGGCUAGGGCUCGGUGAGGGAGGGGAGAUUUGAGCCCUAAUUUCCUAUUAUGGGUGUCCAGUGCCUUCCCGUCGUCGGAGCUUGGAUCAGGGAGGUCCAACUCCACUGGAUUCCGAUUCCUCUUUCUCGUCGGUGUUGAUCGGCUGCCGGUCCAUGGUGUGGGAUGUAUUUCCGACAUAGAAAUAGAGUAAGUACCGAUUUCCAGCGAUCCACGGUUCCGAAGAUCCAGAAGCAGCAGUGAACCUCUCUGGUCAUGUUUCCUUGGCUGCCACCUUGGAUUUGGCACCGAGGGUACUGUUCGUCAGUGAUCCAGAGCUCCGGCCAUCUUCUCCGAUUGUGCACUGUAUCUACCUGUGAGCCACUAAUGACCACUGCAUAUCUUGGAUUUGGAUUCGGGACGAGCAUCUCGACUCGAGAUUACUUGACAUGAUCUACAUUUCGAGGCGGG
This is a long non-coding RNA of Zingiber officinale, 811 nucleotides long. RefSeq lists it as uncharacterized. The record is from RefSeq and is a predicted model, not a curated record. The transcript has 4 exons. Lineage: Eukaryota; Viridiplantae; Streptophyta; Magnoliopsida; Zingiberales; Zingiberaceae.